GCCGUCAUGGGUGGCUGGGGGCCGGGGUCCAGCGUUACCCGCCGCGAGGUGGGAGGGUCGGCGGAAUUUUAUGUCUUCGGCCACAUCGGCAUCUGGGCGCCCCGGCUCCGCCGCUUGGCUGGUGGCUGGCCUGAGAUUUGGGGUCCUUAGUUCCGGUCGAGACGAGGACGAGUUCGGCGGGAAGCCCUUGGCAGAGUGGCCCCGAAAAGGCCGCGCGUUCCCGCGGCGUGGCCAGCUGUCCCGCGGGCCGUGUCCCGCGGGCCGGACAGUCCGUUCACAGGCCCCGCUCUCUGGAGAGUGGACGCCGGGCGUGAGUUCAGGCGGCCGUGGACGUGGGACCUGGGAACUCGUGCCUCUGGUUUAAAAGCCACCCGUGCCUUCCGUGGCCUUUAAGGCGGCCUGCACUUCUGCCCUCGCCUCUCCAGGGUCCGCUGCAGACCCUCCUGCCUGAUGGCUGUGCUCUCAGUAAUGACGGCGGGCCAGGCUCUGUUCUAGACCUUUUUCCCACGCUCCUGACUCCCGGACACCUCCCAGCCACCUCUAGAGGAGGAACGCGAAUUACUCCCUUUUCGCAGAUGAGGAUACCAAGCCCCAGAAAGGCGGGUCGUUAACCAAGCUGGCCUACUAUUCAACGGUACAGCACAAAGUCGCCAAGGUGCGGUCUUUCGACCACUCCGGAAAGGACACAGAACGUGAACAUGAGCCGCCCUAUGAGAUUUCAGUUCAAGAAGAGAUCA
This 737-nucleotide small RNA is filed under the name Pan troglodytes (chimpanzee). Its description in RNAcentral is "processed transcript". The record is from RNAcentral. Lineage: Eukaryota; Metazoa; Chordata; Mammalia; Primates; Hominidae.